RNAcentral lists this ribosomal RNA (473 nucleotides) under uncultured bacterium. Its description in RNAcentral is "bacterial SSU rRNA". It matches the Rfam family "Bacterial small subunit ribosomal RNA", at positions 29 to 479 of the family's 1533-position model. The record is from RNAcentral.
AACUAACGCUGGCGGCGUGCCUAACACAUGCAAGUCGUACGAGAAAGCCGGCUUCGGCUGGUGAGUAAAGUGGCGCACGGGUGAGUAACGCGUGGAUAAUCUGCCCUUAAGUGUGGAAUAACGUACCGAAAGGUGCGCUAAUACCGCAUAAUGCCUGGCAACACAAGUUGUCCGGCCAAAGAAGGCCUCUGUUUACAAGCUUUCGCUUCAGGAUGAGUCCGCGUACCAUUAGCUUGUUGGUGGGGUAAUGGCCUACCAAGGCUGCGAUGGUUAGCUGGUCUGAGAGGAUGAUCAGCCACACUGGAACUGAGACACGGUCCAGACUCCUACGGGAGGCAGCAGUGAGGAAUAUUGCGCAAUGGGGCAACCCUGACGCAGCAACGCCGCGUGAGUGAGGAAGGUUUUCGGACUGUAAAGCUCUGUCGAGCGGGAAGAAGUGUACCAUGGCUAAUAUCCAUGAUAUUUGACGUACG